UAGAGGCUAAAUAAAAGUGUUCCUUCUACCCUAAACCAUGUUGGUUUUUUUUCUAUAGAAAAAACAGCUCCAAAGAAGCAGCUGAAAGAGCGCAAAGAAAAAGCAACUCACACACCAAAAGUAAUGAAAGAUUUUGAUGAAGUGCCAUCUUCAAAGAAAGCCAAAGAGGAAACUGAAGACAUGACUUCCAUGAGGAAAGAAAAAACUCCCAUCAGUUU
This 218-nucleotide long non-coding RNA is filed under the name Phascolarctos cinereus (koala). RNAcentral describes it as "lncRNA (ENSPCIG00000023943.2)". Lineage: Eukaryota; Metazoa; Chordata; Mammalia; Diprotodontia; Phascolarctidae. The record is from RNAcentral.